GUGGGGAAUAUUGGGCAAUGGGCGAAAGCCUGACCCAGCAACGCCGCGUGAAGGAAGAAGGCCCUCGGGUUGUAAACUUCUUUUAAGAGGGACGAAAGAAAUGACGGUACCUCUUGAAUAAGCCACGGCUAACUACGUGCCAGCAGCCGCGGUAAUACGUAGGUGGCGAGCGUUAUCCGGAUUUACUGGGUGUAAAGGGCGUGUAGGCGGGAGUGCAAGUCAGAUGUGAAAAUUAUGGGCUCAACCCAUAACCUGCAUUUGAAACUGUUCUUCUUGAGUGAUGGAGAGGCAGGCGGAAAUCCGGGUGUAGCGGUGAAAUGCGUAGAUAUACGGAGGAACACCAGUGGCGAAGGCGGCCUGCUGGACAUUAACUGACGCUGAGGCGCGAAAGCGUGGGGAGCAAACAGGAUUAGAUACCCUUGUAGUCC
RNAcentral lists this ribosomal RNA (428 nucleotides) under uncultured bacterium. RNAcentral's name for it is "partial 16S ribosomal RNA". It matches the Rfam family "Bacterial small subunit ribosomal RNA", at positions 354 to 796 of the family's 1533-position model. The record is from RNAcentral.